UUAACGAGAUGGUACGAACGGAGCGUCCGGACUGGCAGAAUGUCAUGCUUUAUGUUACAGCGAUUUACAAAUACUUUGAAACCUGAAAGCCUGAACAUUAAGAGGAAGCAGAAACCCAACACGAUGCACAAAGCACCAUUAGCAUCUUGUGGAACUCUUAACAGGCCUUUCUGAGUGGCUUUAGUGAGCAAGGUUUUGUUACUGCAGUGCUGGGGCAAAGCCAAAUAGCUAAACUUGCUGGAUUAACUUAUUAGCCUAUGAAGCCUGAACUUUGAGAAGGAUCUGGUAAUGUCAGGUGUCACAAAGCUUUCAUAAUUCUGUUGGAGGAAAAUGAACUGAGUGGAUGCUGGAGAAGUGCAUGUUUGGAAAGCCAGAAUUUCAGAGGAGGAGCUCUCUAUGACUGCAUUCAUGGACAUUUCUGCAUAAAGUAUCCCAAGGGUUACUCUGCUCCUGCCUCCUCAACACGCACCAUGACGUCCAGAGGAGGGUACGGGGCUCCUAAGCAGAACCUGUCGAUGACCUUAUCAUAGAUCCUCCUGCUGCCAGAUGCACAACUACAGGAAGUAUGAGGCUGUUACUCCCUCUGUCAGGUUCAUCUGACUGAAGGUGGUGCUACCUCCAUUGACACAACAAAGGGAAGGCUCCCCUUCAGCCCCAGGUCUGUAUUUAGGCCUGCCUCUGCCCACAGUCAACAGAGCUUCCAGGCUGGUCCCUAGCCACCACACAUGUGAUUUCGAAAGUCAGGUGGCAUUUUGCAGCAGUUUGUGCUUCCAGAAUUUACCUUGUAGGAUUCUUCCUUACUUUUGCUUUCUAGCCUGUUUGGCAAAGUGUAAGCUUUCCUUUGAAGGUGUUCAAGGGAAGGUGUGCUUUUGAUGGCCGGACAGGGCAGGCUCCUGUCUCUCACCUGGCAAUAGUGAUCUCUUGCUGCCAUGGCCCAUGAGAAGCUUUGUGGUGUGUCCUGAUCUGCCAACAGUUGUUGCUCAGAGGAAGCUGGCUGGGUUUAUGUAAAAGGAGUUUUUGUGGAUUUCCUUUGCAGGAUUUGCUUAAAUUGAUGGAGUGUGUUCUGGAGGAGUGCUUUGCAAGAUGGGCCCAUUAGACUAAAAUUGGCUUCCGGUGAACCUAGUUUGCAGUGUGGGGCUCAUGGAAAACACAGAACUCUGACUUCUUGCAUUGUGGGUAUGCAUUCACCUGGCACAGUUCUGUGCGUGUAAAGCAGUCAAGCAAGUGCCUUACUUGGCCCUGCGCUAAGAGAAACUGCAGCUCUGGGGCCCUGCACAGAAGACUCGUCAGCCCCAAAGGCCUCCCGUAGCCCCAGCAGCACGCCUUGGGCAAGGGGCUGCCAUCAGUCCACCCUCGGGUGACAGGGAAGGCCCCGCCCCGCCUCCUGGCUGUGGAACAGCUUGGGCCCGCUUGGGUCACUGGUGUGGGUGUGCGUUGGUUCAGGGAUGGCAUAUGUGUGUGUGUGCAGCUCUUUUAAUAAACCCUGCUCACUUUGGUUGAUGAAUGUCCUUAUGUGCUUCUUCCACCCAUUUUCCUCCCAGUUAGAAAUAAUAGCCCUGCUAUUUUUUUCUGUGUGCCUGGAAAGAACCCUUUUGAAAGUGACCAAGACCAGCUCCAAGACCUACCAACUGCAUAACUAACAAAAUAGUUUUAGGUACUGAACUAUGUCUUGGGGCAAUUCAGAAUAUAAACACUGAAGAAUGUGGCCAGAGUCUGUUUCCUUGUGCCUCCGCUAUCUUCUGCAUGUGCCCUGGAGUGUGAGGAAUCCUUCAAACUCAGUCAUGGCUGUUAGCUGUCUGGUGCCGCAGUCCCAUCACAGAAAGAUAGCAAGCCCUCAAAGGAAUAAGAAAAGUUAAACAGAAAGCAAACAUUACUUUCUAUAAUAAAAGCUGAACUUAAGAAAUUUGUUUUGUUCUUGAUUAGAUAAUUAGCUACAUGAUCCUGCUUGAAAAGGCAUUACUCAAUUACUUCUUCAUUUUUAAAAGACCAACUGAAUUACAUGUUAACUGUAAAGUAUAUUCUUGCUGUUUUUGUUCUAUUAAAUAUUUUUGAAUAUAUGCUAAAACU
Long non-coding RNA from Varanus komodoensis (Komodo dragon), 2067 nucleotides. RefSeq lists it as uncharacterized. Lineage: Eukaryota; Metazoa; Chordata; Lepidosauria; Squamata; Varanidae. The record is from RefSeq and is a predicted model, not a curated record. The transcript is spliced from 2 exons.